This 486-nucleotide ribosomal RNA is filed under the name uncultured bacterium. RNAcentral describes it as "bacterial SSU rRNA". It matches the Rfam family "Bacterial small subunit ribosomal RNA", at positions 8 to 509 of the family's 1533-position model. The record is from RNAcentral.
AGAGUUUGAUCCUGGCUCAGGACGAACGCUGGCGGCGUGCCUAACACAUGCAAGUCGAGCGAAUGAGGUUCCUUCGGGAGCGGAUUUAGCGGCGGACGGGUGAGUAACACGUGGGCAACCUGCCUCAUAGAGGGGAAUAGCCUUCCGAAAGGGAGAUUAAUACCGCAUAAGAUUGUAGUACCGCAUGGUACAGCAAUUAAAGGAGCAAUCCGCUAUGAGAUGGGCCCGCGGCGCAUUAGCUAGUUGGUGAGGUAACGGCUCACCAAGGCGACGAUGCGUAGCCGACCUGAGAGGGUGAUCGGCCACAUUGGGACUGAGACACGGCCCAGACUCCUACGGGAGGCAGCAGUGGGGAAUAUUGCACAAUGGGGGAAACCCUGAUGCAGCAACGCCGCGUGAGUGAUGACGGCCUUCGGGUUGUAAAGCUCUGUCUUCAGGGACGAUAAUGGCGGUACCUGAGGAGGAAGCCACGGCUAACUACGUGCC